This 444-nucleotide ribosomal RNA is filed under the name uncultured bacterium. RNAcentral's name for it is "partial 16S ribosomal RNA". It matches the Rfam family "Bacterial small subunit ribosomal RNA", at positions 355 to 788 of the family's 1533-position model. The record is from RNAcentral.
UGGGGAAUAUUGGACGAUGGGGGCAACCCUGAUCCAGCCAUGCCGCGUGUGUGAAGAAGGCCUUUUGGUUGUAAAGCACUUUAAGCAGGGAGGAGAGGCUAAUGGUUAAAUACCCAUUAGAUUAGACGUUACCUGCAGAAUAAGCACCGGCUAACUCUGUGCAGCAGCCGCGGUAAUACAGAGGGUGCGAGCGUUAAUCGGAAUUACUGGGCGUAAAAGCGAGUGUAGGUGGCUCAUUAAGUCACAUGUGAAAUCCCCGGGCUUAACCUGGGAACUGCAUGUGAUACUGGUGGUGCUAGAAUAUGUGAGAGGGAAGUAGAAUUCCCAGGUGUAGCGGUGAAAUGCGUAGAGAUCUGGAGGAAUACCGAUGGCGAAGGCAGCUUCCUGGCAUAAUAUUGACACUGAGAUUCGAAAGCGUGGGUAGCAAACAGGAUUAGAUACCCU